Molecule: ribosomal RNA, 305 nt
Filed under: uncultured bacterium
Lineage: Bacteria
Description: bacterial SSU rRNA
Rfam family: Bacterial small subunit ribosomal RNA
Source: RNAcentral
UUUGGCCUACGGGGGGCAGCAGUGGGGAAUAUUGCACAAUGGGGGAAACCCUGAUGCAGCGAUGCCGCGUGGAGGAAGAAGGUUUUCGGAUUGUAAACUCCUUUUAUCAGGGACGAUAAUGACGGUACCUGAAGAAAAAGCUCCGGCUAACUACGUGCCAGCAGCCGCGGUAAUACGUAGGGAGCGAGCGUUGUCCGGAAUUACUGGGUGUAAAGGGAGCGCAGGCGGGAAGCCAAGUCAGCUGUGAAAACUACGGGCUUAACUUGUAGACUGCAGUUGAAACUGGUUUUCUUGAGUGAAGUAGG